RNAcentral lists this ribosomal RNA (460 nucleotides) under uncultured bacterium. RNAcentral describes it as "partial 16S ribosomal RNA". It matches the Rfam family "Bacterial small subunit ribosomal RNA", at positions 338 to 795 of the family's 1533-position model. The record is from RNAcentral.
CCUACGGGGGGCAGCAGUGAGGAAUAUUGGUCAAUGGGCUUACGCCUGAACCAGCCAAGUCGCGUGAGGGAAGACUGCCCUAUGGGUUGUAAACCUCUUUUGUCAGGGAGCAACGCCGGCUACGUGUAGCCGGACUGAGAGUACCUGAAGAAAAAGCAUCGGCUAACUCCGUGCCAGCAGCCGCGGUAAUACGGCGGAUGCGAGCGUUAUCCGGAUUUAUUGGGUUUAAAGGGUGCGUAGGCGGAAUGCCAAGUCAGCGGUAAAAUGGCGGGGCUCAACCUCGCUCCGCCGUUGAAACUGGCGUUCUUGAGUGGGCGAGAGGUAAGCGGAAUUCCUAGUGUAGCGGUGAAAUGCGUAGAUAUUAGGAGGAACACCAGUGGCGAAGGCGGCUUACUGGACUGUAACUGACGUUGAGGCUCGAAAGCGUGGGGAGCAAACAGGAUUAGAUACCCGGGUAGUC